AUUCAGCUGAGGAGUCCCUAAUAGGACGAAACACGUAUCCUGGAU
RNAcentral lists this non-coding RNA (45 nucleotides) under Schistosoma curassoni. The record is from RNAcentral. Lineage: Eukaryota; Metazoa; Platyhelminthes; Trematoda; Strigeidida; Schistosomatidae.